This 253-nucleotide ribosomal RNA is filed under the name uncultured bacterium. Its description in RNAcentral is "partial 16S ribosomal RNA". It matches the Rfam family "Bacterial small subunit ribosomal RNA", at positions 524 to 776 of the family's 1533-position model. The record is from RNAcentral.
UACGUAGGGUGCGAGCGUUAAUCGGAAUUACUGGGCGUAAAGCGUGCGCAGGCGGUUCGUUGUGUCCGUCGUGAAAGCUCCGGGCUUAACCUGGGAACUGCGAUGGAAACUAGCGAGCUGGAGUGUGGCAGAGGGGGGUGGAAUUCCGCGUGUAGCAGUGAAAUGCGUAGAGAUGCGGAGGAACACCGAUGGCGAAGGCAGCCCCCUGGGCUAACACUGACGCUCAGGCACGAAAGCGUGGGGAGCAAACAGG